This 449-nucleotide ribosomal RNA is filed under the name uncultured bacterium. RNAcentral's name for it is "bacterial SSU rRNA". It matches the Rfam family "Bacterial small subunit ribosomal RNA", at positions 29 to 521 of the family's 1533-position model. The record is from RNAcentral.
AGCGAACGCUGGCGGCAGGCUUAACACAUGCAAGUCGAACGGGCGUAGCAAUACGUCAGUGGCAGACGGGUGAGUAACGCGUGGGAACGUACCUUUUGGUUCGGAACAACCCAGGGAAACUUGGGCUAAUACCGGAUAAGCCCUUACGGGGAAAGAUUUAUCGCCGAAAGAUCGGCCCGCGUCUGAUUAGCUAGUUGGUGAGGUAACGGCUCACCAAGGCGACGAUCAGUAGCUGGUCUGAGAGGANGAUCAGCCACAUUGGGACUGAGACACGGCCCAAACUCCUACGGGAGGCAGCAGUGGGGAAUAUUGGACAAUGGGCGCAAGCCUGAUCCAGCCAUGCCGCGUGAGUGAUGAAGGCCCUAGGGUUGUAAAGCUCUUUUGUGCGGGAAGAUAAUGACGGUACCGCAAGAAUAAGCCCCGGCUAACUUCGUGCCAGCCGCCGCAGU